Molecule: ribosomal RNA, 396 nt
Filed under: uncultured bacterium
Lineage: Bacteria
Description: bacterial SSU rRNA
Rfam family: Bacterial small subunit ribosomal RNA
Source: RNAcentral
AACCUGCCUUUGAGAAGGGGAUAACUGUCCGAAAGGAUAGCUAAUACCCUAUAUUGCCUUUUGUCACUAAGGCAAAAAGUGAAAGCGAGGCUGUCAAAGGCUUCGGCUCAAAGAGGGGUUCGCGUCCUAUCAGGUAGUUGGUGGGGUAAUGGCCUACCAAGCCAAUGACGGGUAGCUGGUCUUAGAGGAUGAUCAGCCACAGUGGGACUGAGACACGGCCCGCACCCCUACGGGGGGCAGCAGUGGGGAAUCGUGGGCAAUGGGCGCAAGCCUGACCCCGCAAUGCCGCGUGAGGGAAGAAGCCCUUCGGGGUGUAAACCUCUGUCAGGUGGGAAGAUGGGACUAGGGGCUAAUACCUCCUGGUCUUGACGGUACCAUCAGAGGAAGGGACGGCUA